CAAAUAACAAUUAAAGACUUAAAAAGUUACUUAUUAGCCCAAUAAAAACAAGUAAAGUCACACAUGAUAAUAAAUUAGGCCAUCUGUUGCUUUUUUAUAAGGUUUUGAAUUUGACAAUUUAACAAUAAUACAUGGCUUAACUUGUGAUGCAUUUAGUAAGUUGAAAAAGUAUAGUUGGGCAAGCAAAAUGUUCAUUCGAGCUGUUUGGAUAGAAAAUACAGAGAAAUAAAGUGAGAAAAAUCGAUCGAUAAUUUUUAUGUGCUGGCUAUCAUCAUUAAAUGUAAUAAAUUGUUUCAAUGAAAUGCAUAAACCGCAUCUAACUAAUACAGAUUUACGCUGCUCAAAAUUAAAUGUCAUGGAGAUAAUGAGCCACUACCAUGCUUAUGCAAGAGAAAACAUAAUAACCAACAGAAUAGUAAGCAAGUACCUACUCCUGUAACACAAAAAAAG
This is a long non-coding RNA of Hydra vulgaris (swiftwater hydra), 450 nucleotides long. RefSeq lists it as uncharacterized. Lineage: Eukaryota; Metazoa; Cnidaria; Hydrozoa; Anthoathecata; Hydridae. The record is from RefSeq and is a predicted model, not a curated record.